UACGUAGGCGGUUUAGUGUGUUAGAUGUGAAAGCCCAGGGCUUAACCUUGGAAUUGCAUUUAAAACUGCUAGACUUGAGCAUAACACGGGAUGGUGGAAUUUCUAGUGUAGGGGUAAAAUCCGUAGAUAUUAGAAGGAACACCAGCAGUGCAGACGACCAUCUUGGUUAUCGCUGACGCUAAGGUACGAAAGCGUGGGUAGCAAACAGGAUUAGAUACCCUGGUAGUCC
This 229-nucleotide ribosomal RNA is filed under the name uncultured bacterium. Its description in RNAcentral is "partial 16S ribosomal RNA". It matches the Rfam family "Bacterial small subunit ribosomal RNA", at positions 568 to 796 of the family's 1533-position model. The record is from RNAcentral.